UCAUUUAAAAAAAGAAAAGGAGUUUUAAUCACUUUUUGAUUUAGUACGUGGCUUGCAUUGAUUGGGCUAUGUGCUACAUUUAGCUUCCGCAAACUGAGUGCUUCAAGAUUUUGGAUACUCUUUCGUUCCAACGGAACACAUAAUUUGUUCGGUGUGCCGAGCGACAAGACACCAAUGUCUUUUUUAAGUGAACAAGGCCAAUUAUAUAUUCAACAUUAUGUUCAAAAGGGGAGUGGCUGCUGAUGUUUGGAGCUACAAUAUCAUGAUUAAAGGAUUCUGUAAGAUUAAAAGGGUAGAUGAUUUAUUUAUUUAUACAUUAUAAUUUUGAAUUUAUAUUUCAGCAUUAUCACAUAAUUUCAUUCAUGCACUUGCUUCACAUAAUGGGAAAAAGACUUUUGUUAUUGAUAAA
Molecule: long non-coding RNA, 409 nt
Organism: Lathyrus oleraceus (garden pea)
Lineage: Eukaryota; Viridiplantae; Streptophyta; Magnoliopsida; Fabales; Fabaceae
Exons: 2
Source: RefSeq, a predicted model, not a curated record